UAGGGAAUAUUGGGCAAUGGAGGCAACUCUGACCCAGCCAUGCCGCGUGCAGGAAGACGGUCCUCUGGAUUGUAAACUGCUUUUGAAUGGGAAGAAUGUGAUGCUUGCGAGCGUUAAUGACGGUACCAUUAGAAUAAGCCACGGCUAACUACGUGCCAGCAGCCGCGGUAAUACGUAGGUGGCGAGCGUUAUCCGGAUUUAUUGGGUUUAAAGGGUGCGUAGGCGGCUUAAUAAGUCGGUGGUUAAAAGUAGCAGCUUAACUGUUUUACAUGCCAUCGAUACUGUUGAGCUUGAGAUAUUUGGAGGCAGCUAGAAUUUCCGGUGUAGCGGUGAAAUGCAUAGAUACCGGAAGGAAUACCAAUUGCGAAGGCAGGUUGCUACGAAUAAACUGACGCUGAUGCACGAAAGCGUGGGGAUCAAACAGG
RNAcentral lists this ribosomal RNA (425 nucleotides) under Pseudomonas sp. Its description in RNAcentral is "partial 16S ribosomal RNA". It matches the Rfam family "Bacterial small subunit ribosomal RNA", at positions 355 to 776 of the family's 1533-position model. The record is from RNAcentral. RNAcentral also lists the same sequence under 1 other name. Lineage: Bacteria; Pseudomonadati; Pseudomonadota; Gammaproteobacteria; Pseudomonadales; Pseudomonadaceae.